Long non-coding RNA from Mus musculus (house mouse), 413 nucleotides. RefSeq annotates it as predicted gene, 40297. Lineage: Eukaryota; Metazoa; Chordata; Mammalia; Rodentia; Muridae. The record is from RefSeq and is a predicted model, not a curated record. The transcript is spliced from 3 exons.
CACUAUUCAGGGAUUUUGCCAUGCCUUGGGGCUGUGCUUCAGGGCAUAAUGGGAGGACUUUGGUUGUUCAUUCUCUGCCUUGUCAGCUCAAAGCUGCCUCCUUGGGGGAACAUUUGUGCUUUUUGUUUCCUUUUCUGUGUUUGCUUGCACAGAUGACAGAUAGGGAAUUGUUCUAUAGUCACUCAUGCCAAGUUCCUCCUCUCAGCUCCUCAGGCUCCCAUCUCUGGACCGUCAGCUGGCACUCACUGACUGAAAUGAGCCUGUAGCCCAAGAACUCUUGGAAAUGAUGGAUCCCAUCUCCUUCCCAACCAACUCAAAUGUUGAUCUGAGUGUGAUUUCUAGCAUCUGUUCUCUCAGGAUUCAGGUGUUCAUAGAAGACAGAAGCAUCCAGUUCCUUGGAGAUAGCAUUACAG